This 346-nucleotide unclassified non-coding RNA is filed under the name soil metagenome. RNAcentral's name for it is "partial contains 5.8S ribosomal RNA, internal transcribed spacer 2, and large subunit ribosomal RNA". The stretch from base 1 to 120 matches the Rfam family "5.8S ribosomal RNA", at positions 35 to 154 of the family's 154-position model. The record is from RNAcentral.
GAUGAAGAACGUAGCAAAAUGCGAUAAGUAAUGUGAAUUGCAGAAUUCAGUGAAUCAUCGAAUCUUUGAACGCACAUUGCGCCCGCUGGUAUUCCGGCGGGCAUGCCUGUUCGAGCGUCAUUUCAACCCUCAAGCCCCCGGGUUUGGUGUUGGGGAUCGGCUCUGCCUUCUGGCGGUGCCGCCCCCGAAAUACAUUGGCGGUCUCGCUGCAGCCUCCAUUGCGUAGUAGCUAACACCUCGCAACUGGAACGCGGCGCGGCCAUGCCGUAAAACCCCAACUUCUGAAUGUUGACCUCGAAUCAGGUAGGAAUACCCGCUGAACUUAAGCAUAUCAAUAAGCGGAGGA